Non-coding RNA from Pelobates cultripes (western spadefoot toad), 427 nucleotides. The record is from the annotation of a GenBank genome assembly. Lineage: Eukaryota; Metazoa; Chordata; Amphibia; Anura; Pelobatidae.
AAAAAAAAAAAGAAAAAAAAAAAAGGGGGUUAAAAGGUAUGAUGGAUGUUUGGCAUUACUCCGGCUUGCUAAUUUAUGUGCUAUUUUAUGGUGUGCAACGCUGAUUUUAAGCAUAAAGUCUUAAUUGAGGGAAUGUCAAAAGUACAUGUAAAGGUGAUGAUGAAUAAGAAAAAAAACUAGAGGUUAUUUAAGGGGGGCUACAAAUUCUAGAACUAACAUGAUUUCUCUGCAUGUAUGUAUGUUUGCAUAAUGAGCCCCUUAUUUUUAUAUUUGGACAAAAGUACUAUAAUCCCACUACACUUUUUCAUGAGAGUGGGAUGUAUGAUUGUUUAUAUGAUGAGCCCUUUAUUUUCAUAUUGGGACAAAAAGUCACUUCAUUCAAAACGUCAAACACCACAUUCGUUCUGCCCUGUGUGUUUGUUGCAGA